Gouania willdenowi (blunt-snouted clingfish) is the source of this 80-nucleotide small nucleolar RNA. Lineage: Eukaryota; Metazoa; Chordata; Actinopteri; Blenniiformes; Gobiesocidae. The record is from Ensembl.
GUUGUCGUUGAUGUUUAAUCACCUAGUUUUGAGUUUAAAUGGCCAUGAAAUAAUCUUCAUGCACUACCAUCUGAGACAUC